GAAGCAUACUUACAUAUGGGAUCUCCUGCAACAGCUAGGUCUGAUGGUUCACUGGGAGAGCCAACUCCUGCAGCAUUUAUUGCCAUCGCUCUGAACUGGUAUUUAACACCUUCAAUCAAACGGGGAACAUUAAAUUCCACGCCUUUCAAUCCCACUUUGGUUAUCGGUGCUCGGCUAACACGUGACCAGUAGGCACCUCCCUCUUCUCUCUUCUCCAGCCAGUAGCCAGUAAUUGGAGAGCCGCCGUUGUCCAGAGGAGGAGUCCAGCUCACUAGCAUCGACCCUUUGGUGCGCUCCAAGACUGUUGGCUUUCCCGGAGGUCCAGGAGUGCGAUAAGGAUCUUGAAUGACCACUUUAUCUGAUUUGCAUUCAUCGCUGGUUCCAUAUUUAUUCACUGCCCUAACUCGGAACUCAUACUGACCAUUGGGGAUAAGUUUCCAGAGCUAGAAAUCAGAUGAACAAUAAUUUCUUAAAAACAAUAUACUUACAUUGAUUUUCACUUGUUUUAAAAUUCCAGUUAUUUUGGUAGGGAAGACUGUAAAAAGAAAUACUUCUAUAAACUCAGUUAUCUGAGUUUCUCCACUCAAACAUGGAGAAAGUCAUUUAAAAUGAGAAUGUGUAAAUUUAUUGCACCUAAUAGUGGCUCUCUCAAGUAAAAGAGGAUCUGUAUAUCAAAGUAUUUACUAAGUGGCUUUAUGUGCAAGAUGCUAAAAACUAUACUUAAGCUUUUUGUGUGUGGUUUUGAGUUUAAUCAUUAAAUUCCAAGGUCAUGCUAGAAUGAUGUUAAUUCAGGGUUAUGUCCUUUAAGUGUGCAUAAGAAAAUACUUAGAAGAGUUUACCCCAUAUCUCCUCUCUACAGCAGUGUUGGUGACUUCUUCCCAUUCAGCUUUCUUCCUGCUUGCAUCGCGUUUGUCAAUGACAUAAUGGGUGAUUUCACCCCCACCAUUGUCUAGAGGGGCAUCCCACGUUAAGUGGCAAGAUUCAGCUUUAAUGUCAACAACAGCAAGAUUUCUUGGUGGGGAUGGACGAUCUGAAAAGGAACCAAAGGAGGAGAUUGAGAAGCAAAUUCUUAGACACUGGAUUUCUUUUUUUUAUAAGAAAGCGUGUCACUUACCGAAUACUUCGACAUGGACAUUUCGGAACACUGAGCCAAGGCGAUUAGAGGCAGUCACCGUCUUGUGAAGCUUGCCCUCCGAUGAGAUGAGUACACUUCUGCUUGUGUGGAGUUUGACAUCAUUUUUGAACCAGACUACGUGCAUUUUUUCAUGAGAAAGUUCACAGACAAAAGUUGCUGUUUCACCUUCUUUCACUGUUUGAUCUUCAAGAGGUGAUAUGAAUUUCAAUCUUAUACCUGCAAUGCAAGGUAAUAGGCUCAGAAAUACAAUUUAGUUCUCAGAAAUAUUCCACUCUAAUCUGUCUGGUAGAAAGAAUCUGUUUCACGUGGCAUUUAUUGAGUCACCUUUUCAAAUGGAGCUCUCCUCCAUUAAAAAAAAAAUUAAGGGGGUUGUUUUGAUGGCAAUGUGAAAAUAAAGUCAUGGGGCCGAUGGUCACUUACAGCUGUUAGAACUUGGUGUUCUGUC
Long non-coding RNA from Phocoena sinus (vaquita), 1580 nucleotides. The record is from Ensembl. Lineage: Eukaryota; Metazoa; Chordata; Mammalia; Artiodactyla; Phocoenidae.